AUCAUCCAUGUGGCUGGCCCAGCCCCCCAGGCACAGAGGGCAGCAGGAGCCCUGGGCAGAUGCAGUUACCCUCUGUAGGGGGGAUCUGUAGGUCUGGGAUCUGGAAGCUGCAGCUAGCCUGGCUGGGGCCGGCGCUGGGCAGGAGCCGGAGCUCUGGUCUAGGCUGGAGGUGGAGGGAGGAAGUGCCCAGCAUGGUGAUGACAUCACAGCCCAGCCCUUGAAAGAUGAUCUGUUCCCACUGCCACUCCAGCUCAGCUCCGGAGGCUCCUCGGAGGACUGGGGCCCUCGGGCAGCCCCGCUGGACCAGGGAGCUACGAAGUGCCCGCGUUUGUGCUCCGGACAAGAGAUUGCAAGUAAAUGCAUAAAAUGUUCAGUUCAAGAAGCUGGAUGGACAAAAAAAGUAGAAGAAAGAAGAAAAGAAAGAAAGAAAAAGAAGUAGAAGAAAGAAUAAUGAUGACAAAACAAAAUGAUUAAUUAGAAAGGAAACAAACGUUAAUAUCAGUAUUCCCUCUAAGGAAAAACCAAAGCCUGGCUCUUUGAAAAUAGCGAAGGGGGAGGAAAUAUUAGGAAGCGAUCUGUGCCAUGCGGAGAAUUAGGAUAAGUUGCUGAGACAGGAAGUGAUAAGCAGACACUUUGCGGUCAAGAGUGGCCUGCAGCACAGUUGGGGCCCAGCAUCCCAGCCUUUCCAGGCUGUGGGAAGGACGAUCUGCCUGGUUGGGGGUUUCUGUUGGACCCGUGAAGGCCUUCUUUCCACACUGGCCUCCUGUUCCCUGGGAGGGUCCCAUGUCCCUGAAGGUAGGAGAGCAGAGCUCAAAGCCCUGCCCCCCGCUGGGCCUGGGAUCCCAUCAUCUCUGCUUGAACCUUUUAUACCUAAGUCUCAGUCAGAGCCCACGAACCAACAGGCUCACAGAUGUGCUAAGUAUUUAGCCACCAGCAUUUCUUACAAGAGUCAAUAAUUUUAAAAUGGGAUAUUUCACAUAAAAAUUCAGCUUCCCAGCUUCUCUAGGAAUGCAGACGGCUCUGGCAAGGCUGAAAAUUAAUGCCCCACCUGGCCACACACAGCUCUUUAGGUCAGACCUUGGCCGUCAGAGUGCCCACCCCUCCCCCAGCGUCAGCAUCUGCUCUCACCUCCAGCACCCCACUUUAAUGGGCCCCUGUGGGCAUUGGAAUUUGAGGCCCUGCUUCACACGUUGAGAGGUGCAGACUGGUGAAGGCCACUGAGGCAGAGCUGAGCUGGUUACGACUGGGAGAAAGAACUUUCCGAGCAGAUUUACAAGGGCAGCCUCUCCCCCAAACAGCCCCACGUAAGGGAGGGCAAAGACAGCCCCUCCCCACGCCAGCCUCUGGGGGCUGAGCUCUAAAAUGGGCCUGCGAUGGUGCCGCAGAGUGCCUUAGACACGGAGCAUUUCCCAGAUCUAAAGCAGGAACACCCAGCCGUGGAGUUGAGACCUUAUUGGAGGGCUUGACUCUUCCAAACAGAGAGGGGGAAAAGCUGGUGUGAAACUGAGGAAAAUCUGAACUACCCAGGAUCCUAAGCACACGAUGCUCUCCAAUGCCUCUGAGCCUUUGUUCAUGCUGUUCCCGUGCCUCUGAUGCUUUUCCACACCUUCCUCAAGCUUCUUCUCCUACUCAGCCUUUGAGAUGAAGGGGUCCCUCCUUCCAGGAAGCCUUCUACACCCCUUCCCAGAAGCUAGGUCUCUCCUUGGUGCCCCGCAACUGCCUUUGGCCCCUCAGGGACAGCACUAGCCAUGCUGUGUUGGCAUCAUCUGUGUGUUUGCCUCUCCUGCAGCCUGUGAGCCCCCUCAAAGGCCAGGGCCUCAUCUUACCCCUCUGUCCAUUCCCAGCCUGGUCCCCAGGGGACCUGCAGCGCCCUCCUGGCCGUUAGGGCCUGUACCCUGGUAGGCUCAGCAGGCCUCCUGGGAGGUCGGACUCUGCAGUGACAAUCAGACGCCAGGGCCGGUGAGCAAUGGCAUUCCCUGAGUGUGGCCUCUGGCCUGGAGGGAGCAGGGAUUCCGAGGAGGUCUCUCUGUCACUGCAGACUAACAGUCGGGUGGCAGGUUUCCAGGCUUCCUUUCCAUGGGUCUUGCCACGCCCACAUGUCCUAAAGGCUCUGGGGCACAGGUGAGGCUUCUGAGCCCACCAGCUCUGAGCCCGGGUACCUUCCCCAAGGGAAUGGGCUCCGACCCCAGGGGGUCCCAUGGCAGCCACUGGUAGGCCGGCACCACUCUGUAAAGUCCCUUCUUCUGGACCCUGAGUGCCAGCUUCUCCGAAGGUGGCCUCCAGCCAGUUCCAGUCCCUGGGCAGAGGCCGUGGUGGAGGACACCGGCCUCAUUGUCCAACAGCCCAGCAUUCUGAUCGAGGCUUGGCCAACGGCUUGCUGAGUAACACAGGGCAGGUCGCCGACCGGCCUGAGCCCCUCCCUUCCCACCUGCAUCAGGGAAUCAAGACCACCGUGCACAGCCUUUGCGCAGCCGACACGGCAGGACCGUGUGUGAAAGUGGCCACGCCGCGCAGGGCCCGCUCAUUCCCUCCUCUCUGAACCACUCGGGAGAGACUCUCUGGGCUCCCAGCUCGGAGGCUUCUGCCCACGAGGAGUGCGGAGCCUGUGGGAGAGACAGGCGAGGGCCUGGGAGACUCGGACUCAGCACCCUGCUCCUGUGACCCCAGGGCCCAGCCCAGAGGACCCGGGACAGUCACGCCCUCUGCUUGUCCUGGGCCUCCUGAAUCCAGAGCCAGAUGUCAUGAUCUCCACCUUCCCCUUCCUGGGCCUCUGCGUGCCAGCCUGCCACGCACACUCACACGUCACACACUCACACACACACACACACACCCCGCACGCUCAC
Molecule: RNA transcript, 2843 nt
Organism: Globicephala melas (long-finned pilot whale)
Lineage: Eukaryota; Metazoa; Chordata; Mammalia; Artiodactyla; Delphinidae
Gene: BDKRB2
Gene name: bradykinin receptor B2
Source: RefSeq, a predicted model, not a curated record